Molecule: ribosomal RNA, 437 nt
Filed under: Strongyloides stercoralis
Lineage: Eukaryota; Metazoa; Nematoda; Chromadorea; Rhabditida; Strongyloididae
Description: SSU rRNA
Rfam family: Eukaryotic small subunit ribosomal RNA
Source: RNAcentral
AAUAUUUUAGUUGGAUAACUGAGGUAAUUCUUGAGCUAAUACACGCUAUUUAUACCACAUUAGUGGUGCGUUUAUUUGAUUAAACCAUUUUUAUAUAUUGGUUGACUCAAAAUAUCCUCGCUGAUUUUGUUACUAAAACAUACCGUAUGUGUAUCUGGUUUAUCAACUUUCGAUGGUAGGGUAUUGGCCUACCAUGGUUGUGACGGAUAACGGAGAAUUAGGGUUCGACUCCGGAGAGGGAGCCUGAGAAACGGCUACCACAUCCAAGGAAGGCAGCAGGCGCGAAAAUUACCCAAUUUUAGUUAAAAGAGGUAGUGACGAAAAAUGACAACCAAAUAUUAUUAUUAAUAUUUGGAUUGAAAAUCUUCAAGUUUAAAUAACUUGUUGGUAAAGGAAAGGGCAAGUCUGGUGCCAGCAGCCGCGGUAAUACCAGCUUU